Molecule: non-coding RNA, 72 nt
Organism: Tritrichomonas musculus
Lineage: Eukaryota; Parabasalia; Tritrichomonadida; Tritrichomonadidae
Source: the annotation of a GenBank genome assembly
AUCGACAUCGUUCAAUAGGUAGGACAUGUGACUUUCAAUCAUGAAACUGGGGUUCAAAUCCCCAUGUCGAUA